CCUCUCUCUCUCUCUGCUUCCAUUUUCCCGUUUUCUUUGUUAUUAUUCUCUUUCGCUCUCAGAAUUUUCUUUCUUAGCUGUUAGGGUUUCGUUUCCUUUACUUCGAAAUCAGAAGCAGAGCUUCACUGGUUGAGGUAUAGCUAGCAGUAAUACCUUCAAUUUGAAAAUUCCGAAGUUCGUAAUUCCCUUCCUUUCUGGGUUUAAUAGUGGUGAUGAUGGUGGAAAGGAGGUUAAUGCUAUUGGCAAAGGUGAUCUAGGUUGAAUCCAUGAAAAUAUAAAGGAUCUGUUUCUAAAUUCCUUUAUGUUUUUUUUUUCCUUCCCAGUUACCCAAUGCAAAUUUUAGUGCAUUUGAAUGAGAUGGGUUGAAUGGAUGUGUAAGCUUGCUAGUAAAGUAAACUAGAAAUGGCUAUUGCUGGUCUGCAUAGCGUGUCUGUGCUCGACUCCUCUUUCUUGAGGGACUCCCAUUCCCAGUCAUCCAGGAGGGGGGGAGAUGGAAGAAGGCGAAGCACCCGGUCAUCUUCACUCUUGCGAAUGUGGCGAGAGAUUGAGGAUGAACAUGUGGAGAGUCAAGUUCAAGGAAGACCUGGUGAAGUUCUACUUGAACAAAGGAGUGAUGGGUUAAUUGUUGACCUCUCACAGGAAGAUACGCUGGAUAGCCAUGGGAGAGGGCAGGGGCAUAUGGUAGAAGAUGCAGUUUUGGGUGGGAAUGAGUCUGAAACUUGGUCACAGUCACCGAGUCAGAAUGAAUUCCAUGAUGAACAUGAAGAUUUAAACAAUUCUAGCUGUGAAAACUCUUCUGACUUGGGAGAAGUUGAAAGGGAAAGAGUGAGGAAAAUUUUCAGGGAAUGGAUGAAUAAUGGUGCUAGGGAUCAUGGAUCAAACAUUUCCCGAAGAAAUAACAGUUCAAGGAGAGAAUGGCUUGGAGAAACUGAGCAGGAAAGGGUGAGAAUUAUAAGGGAGUGGGUACAAAUGAGUAGCCAGCAGAGAAAUGUUUCUUCUGGGGAAAGUAGGGAAGAACCAUCUGCUGAAAUAGAUACACAAAUUGAACGUGUACGUGAUGGAUUAGUUGUCAAUCAGAGUGAGGGCCAGACUGAGCAUACACGGAGGGGUAUCCGAAAAUUAUGUGGCCGUCAGGUUAUGCUUGAUAUGCUUAAGAAGGCUGAGAGGGAAAGACAAAGAGAAAUUCAGGAGUUGUUGGACCAUCGGGCUGUAUCUCAUUUCCCCCAUCGAAAUCGCAUUCAGGCAUUGCUUAGAGGAAGGUUCUUGAGAAAUGAUAGAUCAGUUGAUAAUAACAGGCCCACUUCUGUUGCAGAAGGUGAAUUGGGUUUAUUGAGGCAAAGACAAACUGUAUCAGGUCUAAGGGAAGGAUUCUUCUCUAAAAGGGACAAUACUGGUUGCAUUCAAGCAACCAGUAAGCUAUCUGAUUCCUCAUCUAACAUUGAUAUUGAUUUUAAUAUGAAUGAACAAAAUGGAGCAAGCAGUUCACGUAUGGUCCCAAGUGUACAUUCUGAACAGACUGAACCUAACAACAGAGGAAGUAAUGGACUUGGGAUGUCAGGCGGCCAGAACUGUUUACAAGGAACAUGUGAGAAUUUAGAUUGGCAAGACUCUACUGCUCAUGCAGAUGGAGAUCGGUUGCAGUAUUUGCAAACUGAAUCAGUCGUCUUGCAAUCAUCAUUCAAUUUUAGUGUUGAAAGAAGGGAUGGUGCUGAGCAAAAUGUUGAUGUGAUGCCUCCCGAAGAUACUGCUGAUGAACUUUCCCAACAAAGCUUGCGAAUUGAAGAUUCAGAGCAUAGUAAUUUUCAGGAACUCAGCAGGGUACAUAAUGAGCAAUCCCAACUGGGUGAUGUAAGUCAUGGUGAAAACAAUUCAUCAAAUCAUGACAAUUGUAUGGAGGGAACUAUUGGUGGUGAUGUGAAUUGGAAUGAAUCUGGUGCUCUGGAAGAACAGCUGGAAGACGAUAUUGGAAAUGAAGGAAGCGACUGGCAUCGGAGUAACACGGAAUGGAGAAAUAGCACUGUGGAAAGUGUGGAUGAUAAUCUGCUCAGUAAUACAGCAAAUGAGUGGCCUGAAAACAGUUUGGGAAAUGAGGAUGGAGAAAACUCUCAUGUGCAAGAAGCUCCUGAGGUGUGGCAAGAAGAUCGUGGCUUCCAUGAGGCUGUGGAAAAUUGGUUGGGAGGACCUUCCAAUCAUGCAAGUGCUCCAGUUGAUAGAGUUCAUGGAUUUUAUUUUCCUGAUGAUGACAAUGUGUACAGUGUUGAACUCAGGGAACUUCUUAGUAGGAGAAGUGUCUCAAACCUCCUUCACAGCAGUUUCCGUGAUAGUCUUGACCAGUUGAUACAAUCAUAUGUUGAAAGGCAAGGUCAUGCUCACACUGAGUGGGAGCUGCAAGAAACAACCCCUUCUUCAGCCUCGGCAGAACAGGACCUUGAGCAGCAGAAUAGGGAUCAGCUUGUUGGUCAGGAGGGUACUGUUAAUAGUCCACUUGACCUGCCCUCUUUACCUAUGCCUCCUCCUCUGCCUAUUUGGGAUCAGCACUCUCAUCGUGACAACUGGCCACAGAAUGACAUAAAUAAUCACCGUCUUGGAAUUGAUUGGGAGAUUAUUAAUGACUUGAGAAUCGACAUGGCUAGAUUACAGCAAAGGAUGAAUAAUAUGCAGAGAACGCUGGAGGCCUGUAUGGAUAUGCAGCUUGAGUUGCAGCGCUCAAUAAGACAAGAAGUGUCUGCAGCCCUAAAUCGCUCUGCUGAUUCAUCAGGAAUACAUGAUUGCGAGUCACCAGAUGAUAAGUCUAAAUGGGAAUGUGUGAGAAAAGGACUGUGCUGUAUUUGCUGCGAAAGCAAUAUUGAUUCUUUGUUGUACAGAUGCGGGCACUUGUGUACAUGUUCAAAAUGUGCCGAUGAGUUGCUCGAAAGUAGAAGGAAGUGCCCAAUGUGUCAAGCGCCUGUGGUGGAGGUGAUACGUGCUUAUUGCAUACUAUGAUAUUGACAUUGAAAUUAGGUCACACUUAACAAAAUACAGGACUCUAACAAGCUUUAUCUCCUGGACGUUUCCAGGCAUAUAUGACGACCUAUCUCUGGGCAUUAUUUGUGAUUAUGGUGUUUGCUCUGAAGUGUCAAGACAUAUAUUUGGGUUGUAUGCUACCCAUAUCAAAGUCAGAUUGGUUUGGCUUUGAGUUGAUUGAGGGCUUGCCUGGCUGUUAUGAACCCAACCAAUGUUGAUGUACCAUGAAACCUGCAUCUGCAGUCUUUUGGUUAUUCAGAUAAGUAGAAGUUGCUUGACAAAUGAUGGCAUAUCACAACUAGAAAGAAUUCGUUGGAUCAAAUACUUUCUCGAAAUGUUCAUUUUGUUCUCUUUAU
RNA transcript from Gastrolobium bilobum, 3359 nucleotides. RefSeq lists it as uncharacterized. The transcript has 9 exons. Lineage: Eukaryota; Viridiplantae; Streptophyta; Magnoliopsida; Fabales; Fabaceae. The record is from RefSeq and is a predicted model, not a curated record.